RNAcentral lists this ribosomal RNA (252 nucleotides) under uncultured prokaryote. RNAcentral describes it as "partial 16S ribosomal RNA". It matches the Rfam family "Bacterial small subunit ribosomal RNA", at positions 525 to 777 of the family's 1533-position model. The record is from RNAcentral.
ACGUAGGUGGCAAGCGUUGUCCGGAAUUAUUGGGCGUAAAGCGCGCGCAGGUGGCUAUGUAAGUCUGAUGUUAAAGCCCGGGGCUCAACCUCGGUUCGCAUUGGAAACUGCGUAGCUUGAGUGCAGGAGAGGAAAGUGGUAUUCCACGUGUAGCGGUGAAAUGCGUAGAGAUGUGGAGGAACACCAGUGGCGAAGGCGACUUUCUGGCCUGUAACUGACACUGAGGCGCGAAAGCGUGGGGAGCAAACAGGA